Molecule: ribosomal RNA, 465 nt
Filed under: uncultured Arsenophonus sp.
Lineage: Bacteria; Pseudomonadati; Pseudomonadota; Gammaproteobacteria; Enterobacterales; Morganellaceae
Description: bacterial SSU rRNA
Rfam family: Bacterial small subunit ribosomal RNA
Source: RNAcentral
CCUACGGGUGGCUGCAGUGGGGAAUAUUGCACAAUGGGCGCAAGCCUGAUGCAGCCAUGCCGCGUGUAUGAAGAAGGCCUUCGGGUUGUAAAGUACUUUCAGUCGUGAUGAAGGUGUUAAGGUUAAUAACCUUAGCAAUUGACGUUAGCGACAGAAGAAGCACCGGCUAACUCCGUGCCAGCAGCCGCGGUAAUACGGAGGGUGCGAGCGUUAAUCGGAAUUACUGGGCGUAAAGGGCACGCAGGCGGUUAAGACAGUUGGCUGGCAAAUCGCCGGGCGUACGCUGGGAAUGGCAGUCAAGAGUGGAUAGAGAGAGUCUAGUAGAGGGGGGUAAAAUUCAAGGUAUGGCGGUGAACGGCGAAAAGAGGUGGAGAGAAGGCGGUGGCGAAGGCGACCCCUAGAACAAGGACUGACGCUCAUGUGGGAAAGCGCGGGGAGAAAACAGGAUUAGAGACCAGGGUAGUC